GCCUUCGUGGUGUAGUGGUCAGCACACUGAGCCGGUAUUUCAGAGGUCCGCGGUUCGAUUCCCGGUGAAGGCG
RNAcentral lists this transfer RNA (73 nucleotides) under Stegodyphus mimosarum. It matches the Rfam family "tRNA". From Rfam's summary of the family: Transfer RNA (tRNA) molecules are approximately 80 nucleotides in length. Their secondary structure includes four short double-helical elements and three loops (D, anti-codon, and T loops). Lineage: Eukaryota; Metazoa; Arthropoda; Arachnida; Araneae; Eresidae. The record is from Rfam by way of RNAcentral.